RNAcentral lists this ribosomal RNA (396 nucleotides) under uncultured bacterium. Its description in RNAcentral is "partial 16S ribosomal RNA". It matches the Rfam family "Bacterial small subunit ribosomal RNA", at positions 360 to 773 of the family's 1533-position model. The record is from RNAcentral.
AAUAUUGGACAACGGGGGCAACCCUGAUCCAGCCAUGCCGCGGGAGUGAUGAAGGCCAUAGGGUUGUAGAGCUCUCUCAGUGUGGAAGAUAAUGACGGAACCCACACAAGAAGCCCCGGCUAACUUCGUGCCAGCCGCCGCGGUAAUACGAAGGGGGCUAGCGUUGUUCGGAUUUACUGGGCGUAAAGCGCACGUAGGCGGAUUGGUCAGUUAGGGGUGAAAUCCCGGAGCUCAACUCCGGAACUGCCUUUAAUACUGCCAGUCUAGAGUCCGAGAGAGGUGAGUGGAACUCCUAGUGUAGAGGUGGAAUUCGUAGAUAUUAGGAAGAACACCAGUGGCGAAGGCGGCUCACUGGAUCGGUACUGACGCUGAGGUGCGAAAGCGUGGGGAGCAAAC